GGUGGGAACUCAUGGGAUACUGCCGGGGUCAACUCGGAGGAAGGUGGGGAUGACGUCAAAUCAUCAUGCCCCUUAUGUCUUGGGCUUCACGCAUGCUACAAUGGCCGGUACAAUGGGCAGCGAUACCGUGAGGUGGAGCGAAUCCCAAAAAGCCGGUCCCAGUUCGGAUUGAGGUCUGCAACUCGACCUCAUGAAGUCGGAGUCGCUAGUAAUCGCAGAUCANC
This 224-nucleotide ribosomal RNA is filed under the name bacterium FV-19. Its description in RNAcentral is "partial 16S ribosomal RNA". It matches the Rfam family "Bacterial small subunit ribosomal RNA", at positions 1130 to 1353 of the family's 1533-position model. The record is from RNAcentral.